Bacillus cereus Rock4-18 is the source of this 153-nucleotide non-coding RNA. The record is from Rfam. NCBI's taxonomy places the organism in Bacteria, Bacillati, Bacillota, Bacilli, Caryophanales, Bacillaceae.
AAGACAGAAAGUUAAGCGGUUACAAAAGUUUUUGGGAUUAUAAACUUAGGGGGAAAUGAAAAAUGGGAACAAUCGUAUGUCAAGAUUGUGAAGGUACAAUUGCACACUUCGAGGAUGAGAAAGUAACGGUACUUUACGGGAAAUGUGGAUCUU